This 96-nucleotide transfer RNA is filed under the name Streptomyces sulfonofaciens. Its description in RNAcentral is "tRNA-Pro". The record is from RNAcentral. Lineage: Bacteria; Bacillati; Actinomycetota; Actinomycetes; Kitasatosporales; Streptomycetaceae.
GGAGGGUGCGGCCGGCUCGGUGGCGGUGGGCGGCUCGGCCUCGGCGGCAGGCUCCGCGGCGGCGGCCGGUGCCGCGCUCUGCUUCCGGGCCCUCCU